This is a non-coding RNA of Parelaphostrongylus tenuis, 73 nucleotides long. The record is from the annotation of a GenBank genome assembly. NCBI's taxonomy places the organism in Eukaryota, Metazoa, Nematoda, Chromadorea, Rhabditida, Metastrongylidae.
GUCAGCAGUAGUGUAAAGGACAGAGCACGCAUCCCCGGAAAGAGUGAGGUGCGGGUUCUAGUCCCGCCUGACG